Molecule: long non-coding RNA, 263 nt
Filed under: Homo sapiens (human)
Lineage: Eukaryota; Metazoa; Chordata; Mammalia; Primates; Hominidae
Description: HSALNT0077166
Source: RNAcentral
CUUCCUGCGCAUCCACCCCGACGGCCGAGUUGACGGGGUCCGGGAGAAGAGCGACCCUCACACAAGCUACAACUUCAAGCAGAAGAGAGAGGAGUUGUGUCUAUCAAAGGAGUGUGUGCUAACCGUUACCUGGCUAUGAAGGAAGAUGGAAGAUUACUGGCUUCUAAUGUGUUACGGAUGAGUGUUUCUUUUUUGAACGAUUGGAAUCUAAUAACUACAAUACUUACCGGUCAAGGAAAUACACCAGUUGGUAUGUGGCACUG